Molecule: ribosomal RNA, 566 nt
Filed under: uncultured bacterium
Lineage: Bacteria
Description: partial 16S ribosomal RNA
Rfam family: Bacterial small subunit ribosomal RNA
Source: RNAcentral
UGGGGAAUUUUGGACAAUGGGGGAAACCCUGAUCCAGCCAUCCCGCGUGUGCGAUGAAGGCCUUCGGGUUGUAAGGCACUUUUGGCAGGAAAGAAACGUCGCGGGUUAAUACCCCGCGAAACUGACGGUACCUGCAGAAUAAGCACCGGCUAACUACGUGCCAGCAGCCGCGGUAAUACGUAGGGUGCAAGCGUUAAUCGGAAUUACUGGGCGUAAAGCGUGCGCAGGCGGUUCGGAAAGAAAGAUGUGAAAUCCCAGAGCUUAACUUUGGAACUGCAUUUUUAACUACCGGGCUAGAGUGUGUCAGAGGGAGGUGGAAUUCCGCGUGUAGCAGUGAAAUGCGUAGAUAUGCGGAGGAACACCGAUGGCGAAGGCAGCCUCCUGGGAUAACACUGACGCUCAUGCACGAAAGCGUGGGGAGCAAACAGGAUUAGAUACCCUGGUAGUCCACGCCCUAAACGAUGUCAACUAGCUGUUGGGGCCUUCGGGCCUUGGUAGCGCAGCUAACGCGUGAAGUUGACCGCCUGGGGAGUACGGUCGCAAGAUUAAAACUUAAAUGAAUUGAC